UUUUUAAUAUAUUUUUAAAAAUUAUAAAUUUAUUAAUUAUAGUGAAUAAUUUGAAAAAGGAAAUAAUAAUUGAGUUGUGCGUUUUUUUUUUUAAAAAAGUUAAUUUGAUGUAGAAAAAAAAAUAACUUACAAAUUUGAACAAUAUAGAAUUUUAAGCUGUGCCAUCGGUACGGAAACUGUAUCAUACCGAUAUUUUGUUGGCACGAUAUGAUACAAUAGAUAUGAUCCAUGCUUAUAAACACUUAAAUCCUUGAUAUAUGGUAUAAUUACCAAUAAGCGCCGAGAACAAGAGGAAAAAUUCAAUUAGAAUAAAAUAGUAUAUUCAGCCUUCAAAAUUAUUUUUAGAAUAGAAUAAAACGAUUUGUAGGUGAAAUACGGUAUCAUAUUAAACAAUUGAUAUCAAGACCUUUGAAGGAGUAAAAAUAUAACACUUUCCAUCACACAACAUAAAAAUCUAACUCUUCAAUUAUUUUCGUGCGGCGUCAACGUGCGCUUAAAAAUUCAAUUACUUUGGGCGGUUUUAUGUCACUUACUUUUUAGUAAAAAAAUAAUUGAACCGUAAAAAUUUCAUUUUCACAACUAUACAAAUAAAUUGCAAAAAAAAUAAUUUUUAGCUGAAACUCUAAUUCAUUCCAGAGUUUAUUUCAAUUUAAAUUUCACCUUUGAUGAAACAACCAGGUGUCGGAUAGA
Molecule: long non-coding RNA, 690 nt
Filed under: Ananas comosus (pineapple)
Lineage: Eukaryota; Viridiplantae; Streptophyta; Magnoliopsida; Poales; Bromeliaceae
Description: long non-coding RNA (ACOM_LNC008348)
Source: RNAcentral